GCGAGUGUGGCAUAAUGGUUUAAGUUUCAGACUAUGAGUCUGAAGACCAGGGUUCAGUUCCCCAAACUUGGG
Molecule: non-coding RNA, 72 nt
Organism: Phrynosoma platyrhinos (Desert horned lizard)
Lineage: Eukaryota; Metazoa; Chordata; Lepidosauria; Squamata; Phrynosomatidae
Source: the annotation of a GenBank genome assembly